Molecule: long non-coding RNA, 308 nt
Filed under: Paramuricea clavata
Lineage: Eukaryota; Metazoa; Cnidaria; Anthozoa; Malacalcyonacea; Plexauridae
Source: RNAcentral
GCUUCGCUAAAUUUCUUUACUAGUUUUAAUUCAUUGAGCGGUUUUCUAAUUCCCAAGACACCAGAGUCCGUUUUAUAGUUUCGUAAUUCCCCGAUUCCCGUUUAUCCUGUCGAAUUUCUGUUUCUUUUUUCUGUUCUUUUUCCCCCCGUACAUAUGAUUAAUAUUACGUAUUAACAAUAAUUCAUAAUUCCCCGAUUCCCCUGUCCCCCCGUUCCUCGUUCCCGCAUUCCCCGUUCCUCCAUUGCCCGUUCUCCCAUUCCCCGUUCCCCCAUUCCACGUUUUUCGAAAGAGAAGACGAUCUUUUUGCC